Molecule: ribosomal RNA, 432 nt
Filed under: uncultured bacterium
Lineage: Bacteria
Description: bacterial SSU rRNA
Rfam family: Bacterial small subunit ribosomal RNA
Source: RNAcentral
GUGGGGAAUCUUCCGCAAUGGGCGAAAGCCUGACGGAGCAACGCCGCGUGAGUGAAGACGGCCUUCGGGUUGUAAAGCUCUGUUAUACGGGACGAAUAGUCUUGUGGUUAAUACCCAUGAGAAGUGACGGUACCGUAAGAGAAAGCCACGGCUAACUACGUGCCAGCAGCCGCGGUAAUACGUAGGUGGCAAGCGUUGUCCGGAAUUAUUGGGCGUAAAGGGCGCGCAGGCGGCUUCUUAAGUCUGUCUUAAAAGUGCGGGGCUUAACCCCGUGAUGGGAUGGAAACUGGGAAGCUCAGAGUAUCGGAGAGGAAAGCGGAAUUCCUAGUGUAGCGGUGAAAUGCGUAGAUAUUAGGAGGAACACCAGUGGCGAAAGCGGCUUUCUGGACGAAAACUGACGCUGAGGCGCGAAAGCCAGGGGAGCGAACGGGA